RNAcentral lists this ribosomal RNA (892 nucleotides) under Gambierdiscus sp. carpenteri. RNAcentral's name for it is "LSU rRNA". It matches the Rfam family "Eukaryotic large subunit ribosomal RNA", at positions 26 to 905 of the family's 3401-position model. The record is from RNAcentral. Lineage: Eukaryota; Dinophyceae; Gonyaulacales; Pyrocystaceae.
CGCUGAAUUUAAGCAUAUAAGUAGGCGGAGGAAAUGACACAAACAUGGAUUCACUGAGUAACUGCGAGUGACAUGUGAUUUGCUCACAGCUGAUAUUCUUUGCUGAAUGCUUUGACAUGAGGACUUUGAGUGUGGUGCCAAUGGUGUUGCAAGUGUGAGCCAUCUUGGAAAAGAGGAGAGUGUGCACUUACAAGGGUGAGAAGCCCGUGUGUGCUUGCAUAGUCUCCAUACGUGGGCCUUGCUUUGAGAAUCAUGCUCUUUGGAAGUGGAGUGUAAAGUGGGUGGUAGACUCUUCUCAAAGCUGAGUACAGAACUGGGACAGACAGAGAAGAAGUACCAUGAGGGAAGUGUGAAAAGGACUUUGGAAAGAGACUUAAAAGAGCCUGCACUUGCUGAAGGGCACGCAUACAGCAUGCUUGCUUGUGAGAUGAUUGCGGCGUGUUUUCGGCUGUUUUUUGACUGUGUUUUCAUGGACAUGUGCCAUGGACAUUUGACUACCCAUUGUGUAUCCUCUUGCGUCUGCCAUCAUGUUGGAGACUGUCAGUGUUUGAGUGCAGUGAUUGCUGUGCGUCUUGCGUUACAUCAGAUGUGCACUCAAAGAUCUGAGCAUGUUGAAAAGCGGUGCAGAAGGACCCUCCUGUCUGUAUGACCCGUCUUGAAACACGGACCAAGGAGUCUAGCAUGAGUGCAAGCUUAUGGGACUGAAGACUCUGUGUGCAAUGAAGGUGGAGUCCCAGAUUUGUGCAUGAGUGUUCAAACAAGCAGGAGGACAAGGUUUGAGUCUGAGCAUUCCUGAUAGGACCCGAAAGAUGGUGAACUAUGCCUGGAAAGGGCCAAGUCAGGGGAAACUCUGGUGGAGGCUCGAAGUGUUACUGACGUGCAAAUCGUUCGU